This 421-nucleotide ribosomal RNA is filed under the name uncultured bacterium. RNAcentral's name for it is "partial 16S ribosomal RNA". It matches the Rfam family "Bacterial small subunit ribosomal RNA", at positions 360 to 774 of the family's 1533-position model. The record is from RNAcentral.
AAUCUUCCACAAUGGACGAAAGUCUGCUGGAGCACCGCUGCGUGUGCGAAGCAUGUUUUCGGAACGUAAAGCUCUGUUUCGAGGGAAGAACAAGUACGGGCGUAACUUACCGUACCUUGACGGUACCUCGUCAGAAAGCCCCGGCUCACUACGUGCCAGCAGCCGCGGUAAUACGUAGGUGGCAAGCGUUGUCCGGAAUUAUUGGGCGUAAAGCGCGCGCAGGCGGUCCUUUAAGUCUGAUGUGAAAGCCCACGGCUCAACCGUGGAGGGUAAUUGGAAACUGGAGGACUUGAGUACAGAAGAGGAAGCGGAAUUCCACGUGUAGCGGUGAAAUGCGUAGAGAUGUGAAGGAACACCAGUGGCGAAGGCGGCUUGCUGGUCUGUAACUGACGCUGAGGCGCGAAAGCGUGGGGUACAAACA